AACCUUAUGGACCUGCGGGCGUAUACCUGCGGAGGGAUCAUUACCGAGUGAGGGCCCUCCGGGUCCAACCUCCCACCCGUGUUUAACGAACCUUGUUGCUUCGGCGGGCCCGCCUCACGGCCGCCGGGGGGCACCCCGCCCCCGGGCCCGCGCCCGCCGAAGACACCUGUGAACGCUGUCUGAAGUUGCAGUCUGAGACACUAGCUCAAUCAGUUAAAACUUUCAACAACGGAUCUCAGA
RNAcentral lists this unclassified non-coding RNA (240 nucleotides) under soil metagenome. RNAcentral's name for it is "partial contains 5.8S ribosomal RNA, internal transcribed spacer 2, and large subunit ribosomal RNA". The record is from RNAcentral.